UUAUUUCACUCCCUAACUA
RNAcentral lists this transfer RNA (19 nucleotides) under Opuntia assumptionis. RNAcentral's name for it is "partial tRNA-Leu". The record is from RNAcentral. Lineage: Eukaryota; Viridiplantae; Streptophyta; Magnoliopsida; Caryophyllales; Cactaceae.